This is a long non-coding RNA of Trachymyrmex cornetzi, 814 nucleotides long. RefSeq lists it as uncharacterized. Lineage: Eukaryota; Metazoa; Arthropoda; Insecta; Hymenoptera; Formicidae. The record is from RefSeq and is a predicted model, not a curated record. The transcript has 3 exons.
GUAAUUAUAUGGGUAAGUUUAAUUGCUUUUAAAUUUCAGACAUUUCCAAUUGUGUACUAUCAUGGAAGGAGAAGGAACGUUACGCAGAAGAUUAUGUUGAUGUAUUGAAAAAAGUGAUAAACACCAUAAAAAUAACACCUGAUGUUGUAAUAACAGAUUUUGAAAAAGCAGAAUUGAAAGCAAUCAAAACAGUUUUCCCCUAAGCAAAAACUAUUGGCUACUUCUUUCUUACAACCAGACUUGGAUAAAUGGCUUUAAAUCCGAUUUAUUUUCUGUGUUCAAAGAAAUGGACAGAACAAAUAACGCGUCAGAGAGACACAAUCGCGAGCUGAAACAAAGUCUCCAAAAGCAUUCAAGAAUUAUAACAUUUUUAGGUAAUCUAACUGAACAUCAAAAAGACAUCAGAAGUAUGAUGAAACAUCUAAAAUUCUAAACAAGAUUACAGCUUUAUAGUCUGAAACAAAAAAAGCCAAAUUAAAAAUAUUUGGCAAGAUAUAGAAACAAAUAUGAACAAUGUAGAACUUAUCAUUAAUUUUAAAUAAAUUAACAAAACUGGUUGGAAGAAAUAAAAUUGAGGGGCUGGAUACUAUAAGGGGAUAUGCGUGGAUUUCGCAGGAUAAAUAUUGUCCGCAAGGGCUAAUUUUGGACAUCGCUCUAAUUUCAAUUUUGACGACUGAUUCUUAGAGAAUUUCAUAGCGCAUCUUUUUUGUCUUUAAACCAAAUUUGGAAGAUUUUUUGUUUUCAAGUUAUAAACAAAAUAAUAAUUUUUUUAAUGAAAAAAUUUCAAUAGGUUUUUGUGUUCAACUCGCCAUAU